AUACGUAGGUGACAAGCGUUAUCCGGAUUUACUGGGCGUAAAGGGCGUGUAGGCGGUCUUGCAAGUCAGAAGUGAAAUUCCUGAGCUCAACUCGGGCGCUGCUUCUGAAACUGCAGGACUUGAGUGCUGGAGGGGAUAGCGGAAUUCCUAGUGGAGCGGUAAAAUGCGCAGAUAUUAGGAAGAACACCGGUGGCGAAGGCGGCUAUCUGGACAGAAACUGACGCUGGUGCGCGAAAGCUUGGGGAGCAAACAGGAUUAGAUGCCCUGGUAGUCCACGCCGUAAACGAUGAAUACUAGGUGUAGGGGGUAUCGACUCCCUCUGUGCCGCAGUUAACACAAUAAGUAUUCCGCCUGGGGAGUACGGCCGCAAGGUUGAAACUUAAAGGAAUUGACGGGG
RNAcentral lists this ribosomal RNA (397 nucleotides) under uncultured bacterium. Its description in RNAcentral is "partial 16S ribosomal RNA". It matches the Rfam family "Bacterial small subunit ribosomal RNA", at positions 523 to 918 of the family's 1533-position model. The record is from RNAcentral.